Molecule: ribosomal RNA, 947 nt
Filed under: bacterium
Lineage: Bacteria
Description: partial 23S ribosomal RNA
Rfam family: Bacterial large subunit ribosomal RNA
Source: RNAcentral
CAAUAAGCUAAAUAAGAGCGUAUGGGGAAUGCCUAGGCUCUCAGAGGCGAUGAAGGACGUGAUAAGCUGCGAAAAGCUACGGGGAUUGGCACAUACAAAUUGAUCCGUAGAUAUCCGAAUGGGGCAACCCACUAUAUUGAAGAUAUAGUAUCCUGUAAAGGAGGCGAACCCGGAGAACUGAAACAUCUAAGUACCCGGAGGAGAAGAAAACAAAAGUGAUUCCGAUAGUAGCGGCGAGCGAAAUUGGAUUAGCCCAAACCAGUAUUGUUACGGCAAUGCUGGGGUUGUAGGACCACGAUAUUCGAGUCAAGAUGAAUUAGAACAGUUUGGAAAGACUGACCAAAGAGGGUGAUAGUCCCGUAUAAGUAAAGAAUGAUAAGAUAGUGGUAUCCUGAGUAGUGCGGGGCACGUGUAACCCUGUGUGAAUCAGUCGGGACCAUCCGAUAAGGCUAAAUACUCCUGAGAGACCGAUAGUGAACUAGUACCGUGAGGGAAAGGUGAAAAGAACCCUGAAUAAGGGAGUGAAAUAGAACCUGAAACCAUACGCUUACAAGCGGUCGGAGCAGACUUGAUCUGUGACGGCGUGCCUUUUGCAUAAUGAGCCUACGAGUUACCGUUGCUAGCAAGGUUAAGGACUUCAGGUCCGGAUCCGUAGCGAAAGCGAGUCUGAAUAGGGCGCUUUAGUUAGUAGUGGUAGACGCGAAACCGUGUGAUCUACCCAUGGGCAGGGUGAAGCUGUAGUAACAUACAGUGGAGGCCCGAACCGAUAUACGUUGAAAAGUGUUCGGAUGACCUGUGGGUAGGGGUGAAAGGCCAAUCAAACUCGGAAAUAGCUCGUACUCCCCGAAAUGCAUUUAGGUGCAGCGUUGAUUUAUAGUUUUAUAGAGGUAGAGCUACUGAUUGGAUGCGGGGGCUUCACCGCCUACCAAUUCCUGACAAACUCCGAA